ACAACGGAUCUCUUGGCUCUCGCAUCGAUGAAGAACGCAGCGAAAUGCGAUACGUAAUGUGAAUUGCAGAAUUCAGUGAAUCAUCGAAUCUUUGAACGCACCUUGCGCCCCUUGGCAUUCCGAGGGGCACACCCGUUUGAGUGUCGUGA
Molecule: ribosomal RNA, 149 nt
Filed under: Russula cf. laurocerasi MICH73714
Lineage: Eukaryota; Fungi; Basidiomycota; Agaricomycetes; Russulales; Russulaceae
Also listed under: 5 other names
Description: 5.8S ribosomal RNA
Rfam family: 5.8S ribosomal RNA
About the family: 5.8S ribosomal RNA (5.8S rRNA) is a component of the large subunit of the eukaryotic ribosome. It is transcribed by RNA polymerase I as part of the 45S precursor that also contains 18S and 28S rRNA. Functionally, it is thought that 5.8S rRNA may be involved in ribosome translocation.
Source: RNAcentral